RNAcentral lists this non-coding RNA (387 nucleotides) under Oryctes borbonicus. RNAcentral describes it as "Eukaryotic small subunit ribosomal RNA". It matches the Rfam family "Eukaryotic small subunit ribosomal RNA", at positions 636 to 1204 of the family's 1831-position model. The record is from Rfam by way of RNAcentral. Lineage: Eukaryota; Metazoa; Arthropoda; Insecta; Coleoptera; Scarabaeidae.
AACUCUUCAUUAUUAUGCAGAUAAUUUUGUGAUUAAUGGAUUAGCGACAUCGGUGAAGCGUUAACGUUCGGGGAGCCAUAAUCGAUAAUAAGUAUAUUGCAGGCCCUUUUUCUUAAUAAUUUAAAUUGAUUUGCGUAUUUGGAGUUGGAAGAAAUGUGGCUGGAAACACAUAUCUUCAGAGAUGAUUAGGAAGGAAUGAUCCUGUAAGAUGGCCUAGAUCUCCAGUCCUAACACAUCCAGAUUUUUAUUUCCGAUGACUCGGCGGGCAGCUUCCGGGAAACCAAAGCUUUUGGGUUCCGGGGGAAGUAUGGUUGCAAAGCUGAAACUUAAAGGAAUUGACGGAAGGGCACCACCAGGAGUGGAGCCUGCGGCUUAAUUUGACUCAAC